Cebus imitator (Panamanian white-faced capuchin) is the source of this 1895-nucleotide long non-coding RNA. RefSeq lists it as uncharacterized. The record is from RefSeq and is a predicted model, not a curated record. NCBI's taxonomy places the organism in Eukaryota, Metazoa, Chordata, Mammalia, Primates, Cebidae. The transcript has 2 exons.
AGCCUGGACAAGAAGAGCGAAACUCCGUCUCAAAAAAAAAAAAAGAAAAGAAAAAUCAGGAAAGAAUGCAUAGAGACACAAGGAAGAAAGUCAUGUUAAGAUGGAUGCAGAGAUUGGAGGGAUGCAGCCACCAGUGCAGAAAUGCCCGCGGCCACCAGUAGCUGGAAGGAAAUGAAGGAUUCUCUCCUAGGACCUUUAGAGAGAAUGCGGCCCUGUCAACACCAUGAUUUUGGACUUGCUUGUAGCUUGUAUACUCUUACUUUGGAUACAAUUUUAUCCAAACUUGGCUAAACAGUUUCUCAGGCUACAGAAAAUUUAAAAUGGAGAAGGUUCAAUUUGAUUCUUAGAGAUACAAAGCAAGAAAAUGAUGGGAACAUUGGAGGAGGCCAAGAAAACCUAUAAAAAGCAAAAAUAUGAAGUCAACAUUGUGGUAGCUGUCAGAUGUUUGGUGUAGCUGCAGGCACCCUGCACAGCUUUUACAGUUUCAAGAGUUUGUGUCACCAUUAGAAGAAUUCAACUGUACCUCCAGGUGACAGCAGUUGCUCUGGUUGGGUGGGUGAUCUCAGGAGGCUUUAGAAUGAUUUGUCUGUGAGGGAAGUAAAACACUUUCAGAGCUUGACUUUAGAAGGUGUGAACUGGCUAGAUAAUGAACCUCAGGGCUAACGCUGCUAUAGCAGUCGGAAGGAGGUGAUGGGUUUUCAGUUUGGACCUCAAACAUCAAUACCCUUCUAGUAGUGGGAGGAACAGAGCCCCUCCUUUACCUGUCCAAUAGAAAGAAUGAGAUGGUGAGACAAUGGGACAGGCAAAGUGAAUUCAUAUGUAAGACAGAAUUCAGAUGAGAGAGCCAGGGCAUCACUCAGCCAUUCCUGACAUAUGUAACAGGCAACGAGAAAGUGGCAGAAAGGAAAUGAAGUGUCCAUAAAGAUAUUUUUAAAGUGAGCUUGAAGUAUUUGGAGACAAUUCAGUGUUACAAAAAAUCUGCAGAUCUCUGGAUAAGGAAGCAGAGGUUUCAGCAUGGGACCAAUGGAGCCUCAAAGGUGGGAAGAAGACAGACAAGACCAGGGCAGAACACAGCUCUUCGUUUCUCUUGGCUUUCCUGGAUAAGGACUGCAUCAGUCCUGUGGAAGGACAGGCCAUCAGCUCUGGAACACUGUAUGUACUUUCCAGUAUGUACUGCUACCUGUGUGAUGUUGGGAAAAUACCUGACCCUGUCUAACCCCCACUUCCCUCAACUGUGAAAUGGAAACAAUGAUAGUACCUACCUAUCUGAUAGGUGGCAACUAUAAGGUGCAGUGUACUGAAGGAAUUAAGGAAGCUUCAAUGAACGUCAGCUUCAUGAACACAGUGUUCAUAAAGGCAGCUCAGUGCAGUGGUUUGGGAGCCAGGAACAGCACGUGGGCUCGCGUGUGCCUGUGGAUGAGGUCAGAGAUGUUGCUAAUAAUGGAGAAUAAAUGAUGCAGUUUUCAUUACCGACCUUGGAAUCAUUCAUUCAUUCACAGAAUGUGUUUUGUCAACUUACUAAAACACUAAAUUAAAUAAUCUCUGGCUUUGUUUAUUUAUUUAUUUUUUGUUUGUUUAUUAUAGAUACUAAGACUUAGUGGACCCAAAGUUACUGACAUCCAGAGUAGACGACAAACAUCAGGUGUGCAGUGCUUCUGUGCCAAGUGUCCUUCACCAGAUGUGCAUGGAUCAUAUUUGGGAGGAAUGAGGAGUUCCUGGAAAUACAUGGAAUUCAGUGUAGCUGCACAUGUGCACUUUCAUGACCAGCCAAUCAAUAGCUUUCACUAUGUUUUCCAGGGUCUGUGAUCCUAAUAGGGAUAAACAACACAGCCUUUUAGAGUACUCUCUUGAAAUUUUAUUAUUGCUAUAAUACAUAAAUAAUGCAAUGUUGAAGU